AUGUACAAUAGCUGCCUGGCAGGUCUCUUCCUUCUAGCAACUCCCUGCUCCUGCAGUCCCUCCGUGACCUUCCUGAUGGGGAGAUCCUCAAGACUUUUCCCAUGAGCUCGGGGUUCCUGAGGCCCAGAAGAAGAGGACAGAGUUUUAAUGGAGACAAGAGGCAGAGAAGAAAAACUUACUGUAAAGGACAUGCAUGGAAUAAAACAGCAGUAUUUGACAAAAUACAGAAAAGACCUAAGUUCUAGCUUCAACUUGCGAAGAUGGUCUUCAGCUCAAACUUCCCCAAUUUAUUCCAACUUCUAAAGCAGUAGUCUAAGGCACUAGGACAAGAAGCAGAUGAACAUGUAUAGCCAGUAUUGGGCCACCAUGCCCGUCCCACCUAGACUCAUACCUUGUCUCAUCCACUCGACCUCGUCCUCGGUGACAAAGCUGCACAAGGCUUUUGCCAUUGCCAGUCGUAUUGCUCCAGCCUGCGCUGACCUCCCGCCCCCUGAGACUGUGCAGGUCACGUCGUGCUUUCCCAGCCGGUCAACAAAGUGGAAAGGGAACAUCAGCUGUUCUCUAAAGCACAGCACAAGGUCCUGCUACCUUCCUGGGGCCAGGUGACAUUCUACACAACCCCUGUCAGGCCUGCUCUUUCAGGGUCGGUCAGGGCCUACAAGAUCCUGGGGCAGGCACCACAGACAAAACACGGCCCUGGACUUUCUCCUGCUCAACUGAACAAGUAUUUGUUGAAUAUCAUUUUCACGCCAGAAUGUCAUUACCUUCACUUUUGCUAAAGGCCAUUCCUUGCUCAUCAUACUGUACAGGUUCAAUCAGCUGUUUUUUUGAUUCAAGAGUUACACUUCUUCGAAACCUCUGCACAAAUUCUUCCUCAGCAGCACCACACUGCGAUGUCAAUAACUUUUCUAGCAGCCGAAUGAACUGCAUAUACUGCAGACAAUAAAAAUUCAUUAGAAGGUGCAA
Long non-coding RNA from Homo sapiens (human), 966 nucleotides. Ensembl annotates it as MRPS9 antisense RNA 1. Its record names the gene MRPS9-AS1. Lineage: Eukaryota; Metazoa; Chordata; Mammalia; Primates; Hominidae. The record is from Ensembl.